RNAcentral lists this ribosomal RNA (483 nucleotides) under uncultured bacterium. RNAcentral describes it as "partial 16S ribosomal RNA". It matches the Rfam family "Bacterial small subunit ribosomal RNA", at positions 30 to 507 of the family's 1533-position model. The record is from RNAcentral.
UUGAACGCUGGCGGCAGGCAUAACACAUGCAAGUCGAGCGGAUGAAGGGAGCUUGCUCCUGGAUUCAGCGGCGGACGGGUGAGUAAUGCCUAGGAAUCUGCCUGGUAGUGGGGGAUAACGUCCGGAAACGGGCGCUAAUACCGCAUACGUCCUGAGGGAGAAAGUGGGGGAUCUUCGGACCUCACGCUAUCAGAUGAGCCUAGGUCGGAUUAGCUAGUUGGUGGGGUAAAGGCCUACCAAGGCGACGAUCCGUAACUGGUCUGAGAGGAUGAUCAGUCACACUGGAACUGAGACACGGUCCAGACUCCUACGGGAGGCAGCAGUGGGGAAUAUUGGACAAUGGGCGAAAGCCUGAUCCAGCCAUGCCGCGUGUGUGAAGAAGGUCUUCGGAUUGUAAAGCACUUUAAGUUGGGAGGAAGGGCAGUAAGUUAAUACCUUGCUGUUUUGACGUUACCAACAGAAUAAGCACCGGCUAACUUCGUG